UUUGACUAGCUGGAAAAUAGAGAAAUAAAAAGUUGGAGAGUUUCUUUUUCUCUCUCCCCCUAAUAGCCGGCUGAAAAGAGAGUUUGCAGAAGCAAUAAUUAAUGCUUUUGCCACUCAAAACUUCUCUCCCCGUUUCAACUUUCAAGCAAGUCUUCUCCUUCAUCGGGUUGAGAGGAAAGAAACGAAGAUAUAUUCUCUCUCUUUCUUUGGCACGCCU
This 217-nucleotide long non-coding RNA is filed under the name Eucalyptus grandis. RNAcentral's name for it is "long non-coding RNA (EGRA_LNC001729)". The record is from RNAcentral. Lineage: Eukaryota; Viridiplantae; Streptophyta; Magnoliopsida; Myrtales; Myrtaceae.